Molecule: ribosomal RNA, 253 nt
Filed under: uncultured bacterium
Lineage: Bacteria
Description: partial 16S ribosomal RNA
Rfam family: Bacterial small subunit ribosomal RNA
Source: RNAcentral
UACAGAGGGUGCAAGCGUUGCUCGGAAUUAUUGGGCGUAAAGGGCAGGUAGGUGGUCUCAUUUGUCUGGGGUGAAAGCCUUGAGCUUAACUCAAGAAGUGCCCCAGAAACGGUGAGACUAGAGUCCUAGAGAGGGUCGUGGAAUACCCGGUGUAGCGGUGAAAUGCGUAGAGAUCGGGUGGAACACCAGAGGCGAAGGCGGCGACCUGGAUAGGUACUGACACUCAACUGCGAAAGCGUGGGGAGCAAACAGG